This 2955-nucleotide long non-coding RNA is filed under the name Ananas comosus (pineapple). RNAcentral describes it as "long non-coding RNA (ACOM_LNC022121)". Lineage: Eukaryota; Viridiplantae; Streptophyta; Magnoliopsida; Poales; Bromeliaceae. The record is from RNAcentral.
GCAGCACCUUCCUUCGAUUCAGAAACUGCCCUUGCUGUUAGAAUUUGGUUAGAUUUGUAGUUAAAUCCUAUUUGGAUAAGAAUUAAUAUUUAAAUCUGUUUGAGAUAAAUUAAGAUUUAAAUAUUAAUUAGAGGAUAAAUCUAACUAGAUUAGGAUUAAUAUUUAAAUCUAUUAGAGAUUAAUUAAGAUAGAUUUAGAUAUUAAUUGGAAUAGAAAUCCUAAAUAUAUUAGGAUUGGGGUACGUUUUAGUGGAGCUUUAUAAAUAGCUCUUUGUUGGUUUGUUUUUGAGGUGAAGUACGGGAGAGAGAGAGAGAGAGUCUCUUGGGUUGCCGUACCAGAGAGAGAAAAAGAGAGAGAGAAAGAGAGUUAUUUAAUUAUGCUUUGAGUGCACCUAGUGCACGGGUGCAUGUGAAGGAUUGUCUUCUUUAUGGAUUUAUAGAAGACGAGAGAAUGGUAGAAAAGAUUCAGAAAGAGGGCUCGGGUUGUAGCUACUCUGUGCAGUAGAGGAGUCAGGUGUAAUCUUCUCUUAUUUAAUGAAUCUUAUUUUACUCGUAUAUUUUCUAUUUUUUGGUAUUUCUCUCUUUUAUGAUUGUAUCAGCUUUUGCUGAGGAGACGGGUUUAUGGUAAAAAUCCGAUUCGACAUUUCCGUUGCGGAAUCCCAACAAUCAAUACCGAAUCCACAGCAAUCGGUAUCGGAGCGGGUUGUGGAUUCACGAGAUCCGGUACCGGGGCGAGUACCGGAUUCCCAACAAGUGGUAUCAGAGCCGAAGGUUACCGAUCUGCGGGAGAAAUCGACAAAGAUGGCCACGAAAUUCGAAAUCGAGAAGUUCGACGGCAAGAACAAUUUCGGAUUAUGGCAAAUUAAAGUACGAGCAAUCCUCGUACAGCAAGAAUUGGACGAGACAUUGAACGGGAAGGAGGCGAAGCCGGCGGAGGUCACGGAUGCGACAUGGACGAAGAUGGAGCGGAAGGCACUGAGUACGCUUCAUCUCUCAUUAGCAGAUGAGGUUCUUUACAACGUAGCCAGUGAGACGACACCAGCGAAGUUGUGGAAGAAACUAGAAGAUCUGUAUAUGACCAAAUCCUUGACGAACAGGUUAUAUCUGAUGCAGCGAUUGUUUACGCUGCGGAUGCAUGAAGCGGCAAGCCUACAUGAUCAUCUGAACGAGUUCAACAAGGUGGUGGCCCAGUUGACCAGCAUCGGAGUCAAUCUGGAUGAUGAAGACAAGGCGUUGAUCCUACUAUCUUCGCUACCGACGACAUAUGAGCAUCUGGUGACCACGUUGCUUUAUGGCGAGGAGUCCAUAAGCGUGGAGGCGGUCACGGCGGCGCUUCUCUCGAACGAGAUGCGGAAGAUGACUCAGGAGUCCGGCACACAGAGCAGGGAUAUAGCUUUGGUGGUGAGAGCGAAGAAGGAGGCGACAACAUCAGCGACCGGAUAUCGACAGAAGAAACCGCUAUCUGAGGUAGAAUGCUUUUACUGUCACAGGAAGGGGCAUAUCAAGCGCAAUUGUCGAAAACUUCAGGAUAAUCUGAAGGAGUUAAAGCGACAGACGGAGCAAACUGUCGUGAACCAGGAUGAGACGGUAUCAGCGACGGCGCAGACAGCAGAAUCGGAGAUGAUCGAUUCUGAUGUGCUAUAUGCAGCGACCGGAGGUGCGAAAAUUUCGGAUGACGCGUGGGUGCUCGAUUCGGCGUGUUCUUUUCACGUAUGCCCGGAGAAGGAGUCUUUUGCAACCUAUAAGACGAUCAAAGGUGGAAAAGCUCUAAUGGGGAACGGGACGACGUGCAAAGUUUUGGGAGUCGGCACGGUGAAGAUCCGAAUGCACGAUGGAGUCGUGAGGACGCUGACAGGUGUGCAACACAUUCCUGGAUUGAGACGAAAUUUGAUCUCGUUAGGCGCGUUGGACUCGAAAGGUUGUGAUAUUUCGGCUUCAGGUGGAGCUAUGAGUGUCCGAAAACGAGAUCGGAUCGUAUGCGAGGCGAACAAGCGUGGGAACUUAUACAUUCUGAACGGGAGCACAGCCAGAACGGGAGCGAAGACGGUUUGGGUUCCAAAAGUUCGCGGAUGUGCAGUUGCUCGAGACGGAGCGACGGAUGCGGCGACAUCGAGCGGAGGAGACAAGCUCAAGGUGGAGCUUGCAUGGUGAGCUCGACGUAGCGGUUGAAAAUUACAAAUCAAACCAAGGUGGAAAAUGUUAGAAUUUGGUUAGAUUUGUAGUUAAAUCCUAUUUGGAUAAGAAUUAAUAUUUAAAUCUGUUUGAGAUAAAUUAAGAUUUAAAUAUUAAUUAGAGGAUAAACCUAACUAGAUUAGGAUUAAUAUUUAAAUCUAUUAGAGAUUAAUUAAGAUAGAUUUAGAUAUUAAUUGGAAUAGAAAUCCUAACUAUAUUAGGAUUGGGGUACAUUUUAGUGGAGCCUUAUAAAUAGCUCUUUGUGAGUUUGCUUUUGAGGUGAAGUACGGGAGAGAGAGAGAGAGUCUCUUGGGUUGCCGUACCAGAGAGAGAAAAAGAGAGAGAGAGUUUGCUUUUGAGGUGAAGUACGGGAGAGAGAGAGAGAGUCUCUUGGGUUGCCGUACCAGAGAGAGAAAAAGAGAGAGAGAGAGAGAGAGAGUUAUUUAAUUAUGCUUUGAGUGCACCUAGUGCACGGGUGCAUGUGAAGGAUUGUCUUCUUUAUGGAUUUAUAGAAGACGAGAGAAGGGUAGAAAAGAUUCAGAAAGAGGGCUCGAGUUGUAGCUACUCUGUGCAGAAGAGGAGUCAGGUGUAAUCUUCUCUUAUUUAAUGAAUCUUAUUUUACUCGUAUAUUUUCUUUUUUUUGGUAUUUCUCUCUUUUAUGAUUGUAUCAGCUUUUGCUGAGGAGACGGGUUUAUGGUAAAAACCCGAUUCGACGUUUCCGUUGCGGAAUCCCAACAAUCAAUACCGGAUCCACAGCAAUCGGUAUCGGAGCGGGUUGUGGAUU